This 253-nucleotide ribosomal RNA is filed under the name uncultured bacterium. RNAcentral describes it as "partial 16S ribosomal RNA". It matches the Rfam family "Bacterial small subunit ribosomal RNA", at positions 524 to 776 of the family's 1533-position model. The record is from RNAcentral.
UACGAAGGGGGCUAGCGUUGCUCGGAAUCACUGGGCGUAAAGCGCACGUAGGCGGAUUGUUAAGUCAGGGGUGAAAUCCUGGAGCUCAACUCCAGAACUGCCUUUGAUACUGGCGAUCUCGAGUCCGGGAGAGGUGAGUGGAACUGCGAGUGUAGAGGUGAAAUUCGUAGAUAUUCGCAAGAACACCAGUGGCGAAGGCGGCUCACUGGACCGGUACUGACGCUGAUGCGCGAAAGCGUGGGGAGCAAACGGG